GUGCCUAACACAUGCAAGUCGAACGAGAAAGUGGAGCAAUCCAUGAGUAAAGUGGCGACCGGGUGAGUAACACGUGACUAACCUACCUUCGAGUGGGGGAUAACCCCGGGAAACCGGGGCUAAUACCGCAUAACAUCGCAAGAUCAAAGCAGCAAUGCGCUGGAAGAGGGGGUCGCGGCUGAUUAGCUAGUUGGCGGGGUAACGGCCCACCAAGGCGAAGAUCGGUAUCCGGCCUGAGAGGGCGCACGGACACACUGGAACUGAAACACGGUCCAG
RNAcentral lists this ribosomal RNA (276 nucleotides) under uncultured bacterium. Its description in RNAcentral is "partial 16S ribosomal RNA". It matches the Rfam family "Bacterial small subunit ribosomal RNA", at positions 44 to 334 of the family's 1533-position model. The record is from RNAcentral.